RNAcentral lists this ribosomal RNA (1480 nucleotides) under Staphylococcus hominis. Its description in RNAcentral is "bacterial SSU rRNA". It matches the Rfam family "Bacterial small subunit ribosomal RNA". The record is from RNAcentral. Lineage: Bacteria; Bacillati; Bacillota; Bacilli; Caryophanales; Staphylococcaceae.
GACAAGGGCGGGGGGGCCUAAUACAUGCCAAGGUCGAGCGAACAGACGAGGAGCUUGCUCCUUUGACGUUAGCGGCGGACGGGUGAGUAACACGUGGGUAACCUACCUAUAAGACUGGGAUAACUUCGGGAAACCGGAGCUAAUACCGGAUAAUAUUUCGAACCGCAUGGUUCGAUAGUGAAAGAUGGCUUUGCUAUCACUUAUAGAUGGACCUGCGCCGUAUUAGCUAGUUGGUAAGGUAACGGCUUACCAAGGCAACGAUACGUAGCCGACCUGAGAGGGUGAUCGGCCACACUGGAACUGAGAAACGGUCCAGACUCUACGGAGGCAGCAGUAGGAUCUCGCAAUGGGCGAAGCCUGACGGAGCAACGCCGCGUGAGUGAUGAAGUCUUCGGAUCGUAAAACUCUGUUAUUAGGGAAGAACAAACGUGUAAGUAACUGUGCACGUCUGACGGUACUAAUCAGAAAGCACGGCUAACUACGUGCCAGCAGCCGCGGUAAUACGUAGGUGGCAAGCGUUAUCCGGAAUUAUUGGGCGUAAAGCGCGCGUAGGCGGUUUUUUAAGUCUGAUGUGAAAGCCCACGGCUCAACCGUGGAGGGUCAUUGGAAACUGGAAAACUUGAGUGCAGAAGAGGAAAGUGGAAUUCCAUGUGUAGCGGUGAAAUGCGCAGAGAUAUGGAGGAACACCAGUGGCGAAGGCGACUUUCUGGUCUGUAACUGACGCUGAUGUGCGAAAGCGUGGGGAUCAAACAGGAUUAGAUACCCUGGUAGUCCACGCCGUAAACGAUGAGUGCUAAGUGUUAGGGGGUUUCCGCCCCUUAGUGCUGCAGCUAACGCAUUAAGCACUCCGCCUGGGGAGUACGACCGCAGGUUGAAACUCAAAGGAAUUGACGGGGACCCGCACAAGCGGUGGAGCAUGUGGUUUAAUUCGAAGCAACGCGAAGAACCUUACAAAUCUUGACAUCCUUUGACCCUUCUAGAGAUAGAAGUUUCCCCUUGGGGGACAAAGUGACAGGUGGUGCAUGGUUGUCGUCAGCUCGUGUCGUGAGAUGUUGGGUUAAGUCCCGCAACGAGCGCAACCCUUAAGCUUAGUUGCCAUCAUUAGUUGGGCACUCUAAGUUGACUGCCGGUGACAAACCGGAGGAAGGUGGGGAUGACGUCAAAUCAUCAUGCCCCUUAUGAUUUGGGCUACACACGUGCUACAAUGGACAAUACAAAGGGCAGCGAAACCGCGAGGUCAAGCAAAUCCCAUAAAGUUGUUCUCAGUUCGGAUUGUAGUCUGCAACUCGACUACAUGAAGCUGGAAUCGCUAGUAAUCGUAGAUCAGCAUGCUACGGUGAAUACGUUCCCGGGUCUUGUACACACCGCCCGUCACACCACGAGAGUUUGUAACACCCGAAGCCGGUGGAGUAACCAUUUGGAGCUAGCCGUCGAAGGUGGGACAAAUGAUUGGGGUGAAGUCGUAACAAGGAGCCUUUGU